CGAACGAGUUGUGAGUGUGUUGAAAUGAAUUGUGAAAGAGUGCGAAAGUUUGUUUGACAAAUUGUAGAGUGUUUGCAUAUCGAUAGCAGUGAUCAGUCAUAUGUAACGAAUGAUAAUAAAAUAAAAUUUGUGAAAACCGAAAGCAUACAGUCCCAUUAUAUUCGAGAAUCAGCAAAGGAAUAAAUCUCACGAGGAGAAUUUAUAACACGGCCCGCUUCUGAGACCUUGGGAAAAUAUUUUUUCAGUACGGACCGACCUAAACGGUCAAUAACGUGUUCAUUUUGUAUUUGAUAGUUCAUGGUUAUAAUGUUCCGAUAAAAUUCCAGUUGCGAAGCCGGUACAUUUGAGAUCAGUUGCGUUUGUCAUUUUAGUGCAAGCAAGGCUCAAACGACGCGAUAAAAGCUGGAUAAAAAGCUUUUAAUUUCAUUACAAUAGAUGCUUUUCUACUCAACAAGAAAACACAAGGUAAACUAAGUAAAAAUAUUUAUUUUCUGGAUCGUUUUACAGCAAGGACAUGCUUGAAAAAUGCUUUUUGACACACAAAUACAAAUUUUAGUUGCCGAAAAACAAUUUGUUCUCUUUACAAGCCCAGGAAUCGUCUAUUGACUAUAAACUGCCAUUUUUUCUUAAAAUUUUAUGUUUAAGGACAAGUUGUACGUUGUACUGUUUAUAUUUAUACGAGGGUGUUGAUGGAGUACAGCGUAUAUCACGUCGUGAUUCACUCAAUUUCGGUUACCGUCAAUCGGAAAAACACUAAACAUUUACAGUGAAGCGUGAGGAAAAAAUACUGUUUAUCGUUUCAGAACACUUUUCAAAGAUUUACUGUCAAAAUACCAAAAUGUUACUUAUUGUUAAUACCGUUAAAAUACCAGAGACCCUCAUACGUAUAUUUUCAAAGAAUAGCUGAAAAAACCCCUUGAAAAACCCCGCUGCUGCAGCCAAUCAGAUUGCAGGAAAUAAAAAAAUAUCACUAGGCAUGCACAAAUAAAAAAAAUAAAUGUUACAUAUUUCUUCUUAGAAUGACCCAAUUAGCCUUUCUCACGCCGCCAUUUUUGGGUGGCUUUUGAGCCGAAGUCUGCAAGAUAAGUCCACAUAACAGCGACCUUUUAAUGUUUUAUAAUUUUUUGGACGAAUGAUGGUAAAUUUUCUUUGUAAAUGGUCAGGUUAUUUUGAAAAAUUGCUUUUCACAUUGUUUUAAUUGUCUGCAGUGGUGAACGAGAAUUAGAUGCCACCCAAAAAUGGGGGAUAUUCGUCAUCGUAAGAAAGGCUAAUUAUAUGAAGAUACCAAAAAUUAUAUUAGGGGUUGGUCGCACUUUAACUACCAAACAUGUAAACAUGUUGGCUUUACCGUGGCUUUACUGACGAUUUAGAAAAUGUGGGAAUCCUAGGAUAAGUUGCUAUUUAUAGUGUCUAACAAUUCUAGUAAUGUGCAGACAUCAGUGAAAUUGCUAAACAAAACGAGGAUCCGCAAUAUCUUAUCGUCCCUCUAAAAUUAAAGAUCGUAUUCGCAACAGUACAGUUCGUAUAUUCGCAACAUUAUAGUUAGUAUUCGCAAAUUUUACAAACUUUAAUUUUGCCGGAGAUUUGACGCCUUUAUCUGCCAAAAUUCAAUUGAUGAAUGCAAGAGCAUAAACUACGAACAUUAUAUUUUAUUUCAGACAAUUUGAGGGGACGUUUAUUGGAGAGGGGUUUAAAAGAGAAGCUAGUUUUAGUCAUGCCAAUACGAUCAGCUAAGACAACAUAAAAACUUUUACAUGAACUUUCAGGAUAGCUAGUAAAUCUGUUCACAGGGACGUUGCCUCUGGGAGG
This is a non-coding RNA of Paramuricea clavata, 1809 nucleotides long. The record is from the annotation of a GenBank genome assembly. NCBI's taxonomy places the organism in Eukaryota, Metazoa, Cnidaria, Anthozoa, Malacalcyonacea, Plexauridae.